GAUCACCAAAUCAGUUGAUUUUUGAUCAAUUUUGACCUGAUUUGACUCGGGUUUGAUCCAAUUGAGUCUUCUUUCUUCAUUCUUCAAUUCCUGGGUCAAUUUAACUCCGUUUUGCUUAAAAUUUGUGCCGUUGGAAUCCUCUUUCCUUGUUCUUUCUAUUGAUGACCUCUUCUUCUGCAAAAUAUAAUAACAAGUAUCAAUUUUCUAAUAAAGUUAGAUAAUUUAGAU
Molecule: long non-coding RNA, 228 nt
Filed under: Elaeis guineensis (African oil palm)
Lineage: Eukaryota; Viridiplantae; Streptophyta; Magnoliopsida; Arecales; Arecaceae
Description: long non-coding RNA (EGUI_LNC028671)
Source: RNAcentral